GAGGAAUAUUGGUCAAUGGACGAGAGUCUGAACCAGCCAAGUAGCGUGAAGGAUGACUGCCCUAUGGGUUGUAAACUUCUUUUAUACGGGAAUAAAGUGAGGCACGUGUGCCUUUUUGUAUGUACCGUAUGAAUAAGGAUCGGCUAACUCCGUGCCAGCAGCCGCGGUAAUACGGAGGAUCCGAGCGUUAUCCGGAUUUAUUGGGUUUAAAGGGAGCGUAGGCGGACGCUUAAGUCAGUUGUGAAAGUUUGCGGCUCAACCGUAAAAUUGCAGUUGAUACUGGGUGUCUUGAGUACAGUAGAGGCAGGCGGAAUUCGUGGUGUAGCGGUGAAAUGCUUAGAUAUCACGAAGAACUCCGAUUGCGAAGGCAGCUUGCUGGACUGUAACUGACGCUGAUGCUCGAAAGUGUGGGUAUCAAACAGGAUUAGAUACCCUGGUAGUCCACACAGUAAACGAUGAAUACUCGCUGUUUGCGAUAUACAGUAAGCGGCCAAGCGAAAGCGUUAAGUAUUCCACCUGGGGAGUACGCCGGCAACGGUGAAACUCAAAGGAAUUGACGGGGGCCCGCACAAGCGGAGGAACAUGUGGUUUAAUUCGAUGAUACGCGAGGAACCUUACCCGGGCUUGAAUUGCAACUGAAUGAUGUGGAGACAUGUCAGCCGCAAGGCAGUUGUGAAGGUGCUGCAUGGUUGUCGUCAGCUCGUGCCGUGAGGUGUCGGCUUAAGUGCCAUAACGAGCGCAACCCUUAUCGAUAGUUACCAUCAGGUUAUGCUGGGGACUCUGUCGAGACUGCCGUCGUAAGAUGUGAGGAAGGUGGGGAUGACGUCAAAUCAGCACGGCCCUUACGUCCGGGGCUACACACGUGUUACAAUGGGGGGUACAGAAGGCAGCUACACGGCGACGUGAUGCUAAUCCCGAAAGCCUCUCUCAGUUCGGAUUGGAGUCCGCAACCCGACUCCAUGAAGCUGGAUUCGCUAGUAAUCGCGCAUCAGCCACGGCGCGGUGAAUACGUUCCCG
Molecule: ribosomal RNA, 1017 nt
Filed under: uncultured organism
Description: bacterial SSU rRNA
Rfam family: Bacterial small subunit ribosomal RNA
Source: RNAcentral